GCUCCCGUAGCUCAAAUGGAUAGAGCACGAGUUUCCUAAACUUGUGAUCACGGUUCAAUUCCGUGCGGGAGCACCA
Molecule: transfer RNA, 76 nt
Filed under: Waddliaceae bacterium
Lineage: Bacteria; Pseudomonadati; Chlamydiota; Chlamydiia; Parachlamydiales; Waddliaceae
Also listed under: 1 other name
Description: tRNA-Arg
Rfam family: tRNA
About the family: Transfer RNA (tRNA) molecules are approximately 80 nucleotides in length. Their secondary structure includes four short double-helical elements and three loops (D, anti-codon, and T loops).
Source: RNAcentral